AGCCUCGUCGCUUUUCGUGCGCUUAUAAUACCCAGUUUUUGUGUAGAUUUCUGUGUACAAGCUUGAUUUCCUUGCUACCUAUCCGUGUUACCUCUGUGAUUGUGGGUGGUUGUUGUGUGCAAUUCGAUCGGGAGUUGCUAAUUGUUGUUCACCUGUAAAACCUGUAAGUUGGAUGAAAUCAAAUUGUUACCAUGAGCGGUUCGAAUGUGGGAGCUGCUAGCUGUGGAGCACACCCUAAAAUGAAACAAUCAUCGAAAUUAAACACAAGCACACCUUACCUCAGCGUCGGCAUCGUGCGUGAAGGCUAGAAAUUUCAUCCGGUUUUAUUCCAUGCUCCAAGCAUUUUUUUUCGCUUCCACCACAACUAAAUCAUACUUCCGUGGUUGAUUUUAUGUUUAUUCUACAAAACAAAACGUUUUUAAUGAUAAAUAUCAUAUAAUUUGCAUAAAAUACUUACAAAAUCA
Long non-coding RNA from Anopheles gambiae (African malaria mosquito), 464 nucleotides. RefSeq lists it as uncharacterized. The record is from RefSeq and is a predicted model, not a curated record. The transcript is spliced from 3 exons. Lineage: Eukaryota; Metazoa; Arthropoda; Insecta; Diptera; Culicidae.